GAGGAAGCGAAUGGCAGUGCCCUUCCCAGUGCUUAAACACCAGCAGCUGAAACAUUGUUUCUGGUGCUUUCACAGGUGAAAGCAAUACAAUUCCUGCAGAAUUGAGCAACACAAGUAGAGGAGGAGGAGGGAGUACGGGAAGGAGAGUACCAAAAGCGAGUAUUUCCAGAACUGGUUGCAGAUCCUUUGAAAAUGGAGAAAGCCACACUGCAGAACCUAAUGCACAACCCAGUUACCAACCAAAGGGUCACUGUAAGGAUGGUGAAAACGAUUCUCUUCCUAAUGUGAGAGAACCUGGAAGAAAGCCUCAUUCCCAUUCUUCAGAGCCACGAAGAUCAGCGUAUGUAGUCUACCGAACUGUCACAGUCACCCAAGAACCCAAGUUUAGCCGACCUAGAGCAGUUCCCGAGCCAUCUGUUCGGAAAUGCUCCAAAGGAAAGAAUGAGCCUGCCAAAAAUAGGAAAUUUUGGACACAAACGGACAUCUACGACAAAUACACUUCAGGAUCCUAUAAUGCACCAACCUGGGGGAAAAGAAAUCCACAGGCAAAAACAUUCUCCAAGACUAAAACAACCAUUCAGAGCCAAGAACACAUGGAAGCGACCCAAAAAGGAAACCGAUAUGAAGACAGAAGGGAGAUGAAACGAGUACUUGAAUUCACAAGAACAGUCUAAACUGAAAUAAGGGAAUUCUCAACUGUAGUUCAAACGAUCAUAAAAUUGUAAAUUUCAAAAAGGCAGCCUGGGGCCUGAAUGGGAUCAGAGCUGCUUGUUAGGGACAUAAGCAUCCACUGCUCUUUCUGCUGUAGCAGUAGACAUCAUGGAAGCAAGAAAAAACAAUGAACCCCAGCAGUGUAAGCAGUUAACACACAGCACCUAAGAGCAGGAAUCAGGUAAUUUCUCAAUUCACUAAAAGGAGUGAAGUAAGAAACGUGGAGCACAAGGACUUGCGUUAAAAGACGCUCAAAGAAUAAUGUUCAUCUUUGUGCUCUCAAGACAACAGGUUCUACACAGGAAGAAGUUGGGUCUUAUUUAAGCACCACAAGAUGGGUUUGUUCCAUUUUACAUUAAAGAAACAUGGGACGGGAGAAUGGAAGACUCUUUGAGAUCGUGUGAUUUUCAAUACUUUGAUGAAACGAG
Long non-coding RNA from Pezoporus flaviventris, 1139 nucleotides. RefSeq lists it as uncharacterized. The record is from RefSeq and is a predicted model, not a curated record. The transcript has 6 exons. Lineage: Eukaryota; Metazoa; Chordata; Aves; Psittaciformes; Psittacidae.